CCCUGCUACACCCUAAGGGCUCCUGCACACUGCCUGCAUGGCGUGAGCAUGGUGUUUCUGUUGCGUGUCAGUUGCGUGGCGGCUGUCUUUGCACUCCAGAAACGUGUCUGACGCGUCAUUGCUGCUGCUAGCCUUGUCUGUACACAUGUAUGUUUCCCAUUGAUAAAAUGAAAUAAUACCAUGUUCUUCAA
Long non-coding RNA from Etheostoma spectabile (orangethroat darter), 191 nucleotides. RefSeq lists it as uncharacterized. The transcript has 3 exons. NCBI's taxonomy places the organism in Eukaryota, Metazoa, Chordata, Actinopteri, Perciformes, Percidae. The record is from RefSeq and is a predicted model, not a curated record.